GGUGGCAGCGACAACACGGAAGUGUUGCAACAACAGCCGCGGUGAUUCUCAGAAGUGGGGAAUCCUUCACGCCCAUCUGAACGGAGCAGCAAACUCCUGCUCCCCCUGCCCGAGUCAGACCCAUUUCUUCAGUGCUCUGGGGGCUGUCUGGUAAAUGCAUGACAGGAAACACAAAAACAGAGUCUCCUCUAGUUGUAAAAAUGCUUGAAAGUUACCUCGGCUGUAAGGAAAAGGAUCACCUGGAGGGGCUGAGGAAGCUGCAGCCCCACAGCUGCUGCUCCAGCUGCUUGUGCAAAUCUGGGGAAUUCCAGACCAGGCUGGCAGCACCUGGAAUCUGAGAAUCCCAGAAUGGUUUGGGUUGGAAGUUACCUUAAAGCUCAUCCAGUCCCACCCCUGCCAUGGGCAGGGACACCUUGCACUGUCCCAGGCUACUCCAAGCUUUGUCCAGCCUGGCCUUGGACAUUUACAGGGAUGGAGAGUCCACAGCCUCUCUGUUCCAGGGCCUCAUCAGCCCUGUAGUAAAGUAUUUCUUCCUAAUUUCUAAUCUAGACCUUCCCUCCUCUGCCUAAGCCUGCUCCUCUUUUCCCCACAGGCAAGGGAAUACUCAGAUAUCCCUUUGAUUUCGGCAGGGUGGGCUAAUCUCCAGGGGAAUUGGGAUAUUAUUCCUCUUCAGCUGAAGCAGAGUCGGUGCCCAGCAGAGUUCACCAGCAGCUCCCGGGGAGCUGUGGCCAGAAAGUGGGCCAGUAACACAAAGGGCCUUCAAAAGUCUCUUAACCAGCAUCCAUUCCCCAGGUUAAGCUAAAAGAACCGGCAGCAAAUCCAUGGAUUUAGCUACAGGCGAUGAACACGAUUCCACAGCUCCCCUGGGGAGCUCCCAGAGGAGAUGUCACAGAAGUGGCAACGUGAGAGCCCGGGGCUGGCUGGAGCCUGCAGGCAUUGCCACUUGUCCCUGGAGCCUGCCAGGAUCCUGGAGGAGGGCACCUGGACACAGCCCUCGAGUGCAGGAGAGCACGGCCGAGCUAAACCAGGAGCAGGGCAGGGGAAGACUGUUCCCUGUGUUCCUGUGAUCCCUGUGUUCCCUGUGUUCCCUCUGCUCCCUGUGUUCCUGUGUUCCUUCUGUUCCUUGUGUCCCCCGUGUUCCUUCUGUUCCCCGUGUUCCCUGUGUUCCCUGCAUUCCCUGUGUCCCCCGUGUUCCCUGUGUUCCUGUGUUCCUGUGUUCCCUCUGCUCCCUGUGUUCCCUCUAUUCCCUCUGCUCCCUGUGUUCCCUGUGUUCCUGUGUCCCCUGAAUUCCCUGUGUUCCCUGUGUCCCCCGUGUUCCUUCUGUUCCCUGUGUCCCCCGUGUUCCUUCUGUUCCCCAUGCUCCCUGUGUCCCCUGUGUCCCCUGCAUUCCCUGUGUCCCCUGUGUCCCCUGAAUUCCCUGUGUUCCCUGUGUCCCCCGUGUUCCUUCUGUUCCCCAUGUUCCCUGUGUCCCCCGUGUCCACUGCAUUCCCUGUGUCCCCUGUGUUCCUGUGUCCCCUGCAUUCCCUGCAUUCCCUGCAUUCCCUGCAUUCCCUGUGUCCCGUUUCCCAAGUGCCUCCUGGAGCCCCUUUAGGCACUGGCAGGGGCUCUGAGCUCUCCCUGGGGCCUUCUCUCCUCCAGGCUGCGCUUUGGUCCCCCGGAGUAAAGGGAGAUCUUCGGAGUGCUCUCGUUGCCCCAGCAGCCAGGCAGCCCCAUCAGUGGAUGAAACACAGAGGCUGUGUAGGAGUGCAAAUCAACCCUUUCUGGAAAUGCAUUUCCAGUGGUGCAUCCCCGUUUGCCUCGGCAGCCUUGGAGCUGCUCAGCUGUGACGGGGAUCAAAACCAAUUUUGUUGUUUAUCCCAGUAUUUAUGGAGCUCACAGAAAUGCACGUACAGAAGAUUCCACGUAGGUGGAAAACAAGGAGCAUCAUCAUCACCCACUGAAGUGUUCUGCCACUCCUUCUCAAAACAGAAACAAAGGAAUCUUCAGAUCAG
Vidua chalybeata is the source of this 1991-nucleotide long non-coding RNA. RefSeq lists it as uncharacterized. The transcript has 3 exons. Lineage: Eukaryota; Metazoa; Chordata; Aves; Passeriformes; Viduidae. The record is from RefSeq and is a predicted model, not a curated record.